GCUAGUAAUGGCAGGUCAGCAUACUGCCGUGAAUACGUUCCCGGGCCUUGUACACACCGCCCGUCACACCAUGAGAGUUGGGAAUACCCGAAGCCUGUGAGCUAACUUUUAGAGGCAGCAGUCGAAGGUAGAAUCAAUGAUUGGGGUGAAGUCGUAACAAGGUAAC
Molecule: ribosomal RNA, 166 nt
Filed under: uncultured bacterium
Lineage: Bacteria
Description: partial 16S ribosomal RNA
Rfam family: Bacterial small subunit ribosomal RNA
Source: RNAcentral